RNAcentral lists this unclassified non-coding RNA (444 nucleotides) under Hevea brasiliensis (rubber tree). The record is from RNAcentral. Lineage: Eukaryota; Viridiplantae; Streptophyta; Magnoliopsida; Malpighiales; Euphorbiaceae.
GAGAUAGAGGGGUGAGAACACUAGCGGACCCCGAACCAAGAUCGGAGGAAAGGGACUUGAUGCGCGGAGAUGUUCGAGAAUAAUGCAUGGUAGCUCCUAAUUCUAGAUGUGCGUGACUGUAUUGCAAGUCACCAACGACUUCUGAACAGUCGCAGCGUCAAUCCCUGCAACUUCCCUAUUAGUUGAAUUUCUAAUUCUAGUAGAUUAAGUCGGGCUUAGUAGUGGUGAGGCCUUUCCGAAUGAAUGAGCUUUGAUGAAGUUGGACAUUUAGGAGGGUGCCUUUCUUAGGCCUUGCACUUAAAAGAAAGUGCAUGCCUUAUUGCAAGUCGCCCACAUCUCACUAGAACAAGAGGCAUUGCACCUUGUGCACACCAUAUUAGACAUGCUUUUUAACAACUAUGCAAAUAAAAUUAGUAAAUUUAGCCUUGCUACGAAAGCUCAAGC